AAUAUCCCGUUACUAAACUUGCUUCAUAUGCUGCAGAUUAUGCUGGAAAAAGUUUGGGUGGGAGAACUCGAAGGCAGAUGAAUUGGUUUUGCCAGUCCUAAAAGAGUACAGCAAACAUGAGAGGUUUGAGAAAGAAGAAGAAAUUAGAGAGGAAGCUCGAUUCCAAUGGGAGCUAUCACUAAACAAAUGACUGCAAUAGAAGAAAUGGUUACAAGUGAGUACAGUUAGUCAGACCCUCGUCUUUGUGACAAGAUCUUGAAGAUGGUCAUUUGUGAAGCGUUCUAGUUUGCUAUUAGUUGCAGUUUUAGUUAUUGCUCUCUCAAUAUAUUCUUUUUCUUUCUUUCUUUUUUUUUUUCCAAAGGAUGAUCAGUGUAUAAUAAUUAAGCUUCAUAAUCUCUUUGUGUUUGGAGCCAAGUUGUAUAUAAAUGUACACAUUAUUAAGAUUUCAUUUUGUAUAUGUACAAGUAAAAGAUUUCAUUUUUAA
Long non-coding RNA from Cucumis melo (muskmelon), 484 nucleotides. RefSeq lists it as uncharacterized. The record is from RefSeq and is a predicted model, not a curated record. Lineage: Eukaryota; Viridiplantae; Streptophyta; Magnoliopsida; Cucurbitales; Cucurbitaceae. The transcript has 3 exons.